AGUGAACGCUGGCGGCAGGCCUAACACAUGCAAGUCGAACGGGAGCACAGUAAGAGCUCGCUCUUAUGGGUGGCGAGUGGCGGACGGGUGAGGAAUACACCGGAGACUACGUUUUCGUGGGGCAUAACGUAGGGUAACUUACGCUAAUACCGCAUAAGACCUAAGGGUGAAAUCAGGGGAACUUCGGACGUUGCGAGAUUGAAUGAGUCGAUGGUGGAUUAGCUAGUUGGGGGGGUAAAGGCCCACUAAGGCGACGAACGGAAGCGGGUCUGAAAGGAUGGUCAGCCACACGGGAACGGAGCAAGGGCCGAGACUCCGACGGGGGGAAGCGGUGGGGAAUAUUGGACAAUGGGGACAAGCCUGCUCCAGCCAUACCGGGGGGGUGAAGAGGCCCUUGGGGUGUUAAAGUCCUUUUGUUGGGAAGGAAAAGCAGCAGGUUAAUACCCCGAUGUACUGACGGUACCCAAAGAAGAAGCACCGGCUAACUUCGUG
Molecule: ribosomal RNA, 492 nt
Filed under: uncultured bacterium
Lineage: Bacteria
Description: partial 16S ribosomal RNA
Rfam family: Bacterial small subunit ribosomal RNA
Source: RNAcentral